RNAcentral lists this ribosomal RNA (686 nucleotides) under Bacillus pumilus. RNAcentral describes it as "bacterial SSU rRNA". It matches the Rfam family "Bacterial small subunit ribosomal RNA", at positions 213 to 891 of the family's 1533-position model. Lineage: Bacteria; Bacillati; Bacillota; Bacilli; Caryophanales; Bacillaceae. The record is from RNAcentral.
UGUCACUUACAGAUGAACCCGCGGCGCAUUAGCUAGUUGGUGGGGUAAUGGCUCACCAAGGCGACGAUGCGUAGCCGACCUGAGAGGGUGAUCGGCCACACUGGGACUGAGACACGGCCCAGACUCCUACGGGAGGCAGCAGUAGGGAAUCUUCCGCAAUGGACGAAAGUCUGACGGAGCAACGCCGCGUGAGUGAUGAAGGUUUUCGGAUCGUAAAGCUCUGUUGUUAGGGAAGAACAAGUGCGAGAGUAACUGCUCGCACCUUGACGGUACCUAACCAGAAAGCCACGGCUAACUACGUGCCAGCAGCCGCGGUAAUACGUAGGUGGCAAGCGUUGUCCGGAAUUAUUGGGCGUAAAGGGCUCGCAGGCGGUUUCUUAAGUCUGAUGUGAAAGCCCCCGGCUCAACCGGGGAGGGUCAUUGGAAACUGGGAAACUUGAGUGCAGAAGAGGAGAGUGGAAUUCCACGUGUAGCGGUGAAAUGCGUAGAGAUGUGGAGGAACACCAGUGGCGAAGGCGACUCUCUGGUCUGUAACUGACGCUGAGGAGCGAAAGCGUGGGGAGCGAACAGGAUUAGAUACCCUGGUAGUCCACGCCGUAAACGAUGAGUGCUAAGUGUUAGGGGGUUUCCGCCCCUUAGUGCUGCAGCUAACGCAUUAAGCACUCUGCCUGGGCAGUACGUGACAA